Molecule: ribosomal RNA, 301 nt
Filed under: uncultured bacterium
Lineage: Bacteria
Description: partial 16S ribosomal RNA
Rfam family: Bacterial small subunit ribosomal RNA
Source: RNAcentral
CAGCCGCCGCGGUAAUACAGAGGAUGCGAGCGUUAAUCGGAUUUACUGGGCGUAAAGCGUGCGUAGGCGGCUUCUUAAGUCGGAUGUGAAAUCCCUGAGCUUAACUUAGGAAUUGCAUUCGAUACUGGGAAGCUAGAGUAUGGGAGAGGAUGGUAGAAUUCCAGGUGUAGCGGUGAAAUGAGUAGAGAUCUGGAGGAAUACCGAUGGCGAAGGCAGCCAUCUGGCCUAAUACUGACGCUGAGGUACGAAAGCAUGGGGAGCAAACAGGAUUAGAUACCCCAGUAGUCCCUGUCUCUUAUAA